AACCAUUGUAGAUCAUCUUAAAUGGUUGAUAAAAAAAAAGACGAUACAAGUAAAUGACAAAAAUAUACAAAUUUCACACGCUCAAUUGGAUCACUCUUUUGCAAAAUGCAUUCAACAGUAUUACGCAAAAAUGUAAAUCUUAGAAAUAGCAUGUUUUGGGGUCUCACAAACAUAUUAUCUUAAGGUGACUAAUUUAAACACAAUGGAUAGAUACGGAUGCAAAAAUUUAAGCAAGCAACAAUUGCAAUUUGUAAAAUAUUUUAAGCGAUUCAUGCGACUGCCG
Molecule: long non-coding RNA, 283 nt
Filed under: Brassica rapa (field mustard)
Lineage: Eukaryota; Viridiplantae; Streptophyta; Magnoliopsida; Brassicales; Brassicaceae
Description: long non-coding RNA (BRAP_LNC006507)
Source: RNAcentral